Molecule: long non-coding RNA, 708 nt
Organism: Manis javanica (Malayan pangolin)
Lineage: Eukaryota; Metazoa; Chordata; Mammalia; Pholidota; Manidae
Source: RefSeq, a predicted model, not a curated record
GCCCCGAUGGUGAGUCUGGCAAUACCUAGAAAUACAAGGCUGGUGAAUAAGGAGUUGAGGGGCGGGGGAAGAGGGAGCGAGGAGGGAGGCAGUCUCCACCUCAAAUCCACGCCGGACCAGGAUCCUCCAGCCCACAACGUGAUCGCUGCCCUCCCCAAAGUGGACCGCUAUAUACAGCCUCUUCCCAGAUCCCCCGCCCAGAACCCAAUACGAAGUGUUCCUUCCACCAAUCCGAGGGCCACAGGGGGCUGAUGGACGCAAGGGUGUGGCCAAUGAGGAGGAGAAGAUGCUGCCCCGAGCCAGAGGGGAAGGAGUGGGCGGGCCAACGCCCUCCCCUCCUGCCCGCGGCCGGGUCCUCCCUCCCGCCGGCUUCGGUACUACACUUUUUUUUAGCAGGACACACAGCCAACCAGAAUAAAGACAACAUUGCCAGCUUCCCUUAUAGCCUGUGUUGCCAUGUUCCAGGCAAUGGGUUAAAAACAGAAUUGAUACAUACAUCCAUAAAGGGCAAGGUAUGCCCCAUCCUCUUUCCUGCCAUCUGAAAUGAAGACAUAAUGGCUGGAGCUUUAGCAGUCAUCUGAGACCAUGAGCUGACCUUGAGUAGGGAAACCACACACUGUGGAGCAACAAGACAGAAGGCAUCUGCUAUACAAGCACUGGCCCUAAAGCAUCCAUCUGCAAGUAUCUUCUUGAACCUCAAUAAAUCUU